This 207-nucleotide ribosomal RNA is filed under the name uncultured delta proteobacterium. Its description in RNAcentral is "partial 16S ribosomal RNA". It matches the Rfam family "Bacterial small subunit ribosomal RNA", at positions 568 to 774 of the family's 1533-position model. The record is from RNAcentral. Lineage: Bacteria; Deltaproteobacteria.
CGUGUAGGCGGUUUUAUAAGUCUGAUGUGAAAGCCCCGGGCUCAACCUGGGAAGUGCAUUGGAAACUGUAAGACUUGAGUACGGGAGAGGAGAGUGGAAUUCCCAGUGUAGGAGUGAAAUCCGUAGAUAUUGGGAGGAACACCGGUGGCGAAGGCGGCUCUCUGGACCGAUACUGACGCUGAGACGCGAAAGCGUGGGUAGCAAACA